Molecule: ribosomal RNA, 274 nt
Filed under: uncultured bacterium
Lineage: Bacteria
Description: partial 16S ribosomal RNA
Rfam family: Bacterial small subunit ribosomal RNA
Source: RNAcentral
AUACGGAGGGUGCAAGCGUUACUCGGAAUCACUGGGCGUAAAGCGCGCGCAGGCGGUCUUUUAAGUUGGAUGUGAAAGCCUACGACUCAACCGUAGAACUGCAUCCAAAACUAUUAGACUAGAGUGUGGGAGAGGAAGAUGGAAUUAGUUGUGUAGGGGUAAAAUCCGUAGAGAUAACUAGGAAUACCAAAAGCGAAGGCAAUCUUCUGGAACACUACUGACGCUGAGGCGCGAAAGCGUGGGGAGCAAACAGGAUUAGAUACCCCAGUAGUCC